CCCAAUGGGAGGGUGCGCUUCCUUGCCCCGGUCCGCUGGGCCUGCUGGGGGUUGUGGUUUGGCCCUUAGCCCACGGCCGCUCGUCUUCUUUCGCUCUUCCGAGUAUGAGCAAAGCGUGCAGUCUGUGGGUGGCUUGGCUUUCUCGAGAUUUGCUCCCUGCCAGAGUGCGGACUGGACCCUGGCCUGUCUAGCUUAAAAAGGACUUAUUCUCCGUUAAUGUGAAGGAAAUCUCCACCUAAGCCUUCCGGGGCAGGAGUUUGUGGCCCACAUAAGAGCCUGGCUCCCGACCCUCCCAUAGGAUAGAGGAGCAGUAAUCACACGCUCGUCCUCUUUUCCUUCUGAUGAGUUUUCAAAUUAGCCAUUCCCAGCUCAAGAAAAUCACUGGUAAAUAGGAUCCCUCUGGCUUCCGUGUGGAGAAUAGGCUGAAGGUGAAAAGGGCAGAAGCAGGCCAGCUGGUUAGGAGACUGCCUGGAAAGAUGGAAGAAUGUGGGAAGAGCAAUUUUGGCAGGAAGAAGAGGAGCUCAGUUUUCGGAGGGGGAAACUGCUGAAGAUGCUGAAAGAGUCAUUAAAGAAUUUGCCCUGAGUCACACCAGCAAGAGAGCAACGGGGCUGGAACAGAUCCCAGCCUCUGGAUACAAUCAGGCCUUUUCACUUCAGCUGCAACUUCUUCACAGCACCUCAGGUUCUGAAAUGGCCACUCCAGUUAUGAAAAAAAAAAGAAAUCUGUGGAAGAACAGAGGUCUUUUACCUUUGUGCUUCCUCCUGGUGGCUCCGAUGGUUAAGAAUCUGCCUGCAAUGAGGGAGAGCCAGGUUUGAUCCCUGGGUCGGGAAGAUCCCCUGGAGAGAGGAAUGGCAACCCACUCCAGUAUUCUUGCCUUGUGAAUUCCAUGGACAAAGGAGACUGGUGGGCUGCAGUCCAUAGGGUCACAAAGAGUCAGACAUAACUGAGCGAGUAACACGUACUUACAACUAGUCCUCAUUACUGCUGCUGUAGAGAUGACACACUGGGUCGAUGCAAAUCAUGGGCCUAGACAAAACAGGAAGCUGAGAUUUUGAGGACCCCCUGACCUGGAGGUGCAGGGUAGCUUGGUGUUUGUGGCAAAGGCUAAGGCUUAAAGUAAUGUCAUACAGUGCCACAGAGCCAUAACAGAAUUGACAAGCGCUAUCAUCCCAAAAGACCUAGAUUUGUUUCUUUGUAAUUCUAUCAGCAAAAGUGACAUUUAGGAUGGGUUGUCCCAAUAUUCAAAUGUAGAUCAAUAGGUAGAUUAAAGCAGAGUUUUUUUUUUUUUUGAGAGAAUUAUGCUUUUAAUAUUUAUUUGUUUUAUUUGACUGUGCCAGGUCUUAGUUGCGGCACAUGGAUCUUCGAUCUUUGUUGCAGCAUGCAGGAUCUUUAGUUUCAGCAUGUGGGAUCUAGUUCCCUAACCAGGGAUUGAACCUGGGCCCCCUACAUUGGGAGCACAGAAUCUUAGCCACUGGACCUCUAGGCAAGUCCAUAGAGUGACGUACACUCAAGCGUUGUUAGAAGCUCAUGGGAUAUAUGGUCACUUGCUUGGCUAAGGAGAUGCAAUACUUCCAAGUGACAGAGGUGCUAUCUGAUAGAGCUGAUGUGCUUGAAAGCAAGAGACUCAAAGAAACCCUGAGGUCACACGGAGACUGUUGUGGUUGGUUGGGUAUGUUAGAAAUCUUUAAAUUUGUCUUCUUUGGGGAUCAAUUCUAUGGGCUGAAGCUUCUGGUUAAUGGAAUGUAGUCAGCAUAUUUCUGUUCAAAUCAGAGAAUAUGAGAUCUUCUUGGCUUAUACUCUUGUAAUAUGGCAGGACUAGUGAGAGUAAAACUGUAUCAAUGAUAUUUAUUCUAAGGGAGGAAGCCUGUCCUCCUGAGCCAAUGAGGAGAAAAAUUACUGAAUGACCUGUGAAGACAAGGAUAGCUAAGGAAUUGGGCAUUUUCUCACAUAUUCUUAACUAAAAGGGAGGAGAAAGCUUCCCUUAAACUAUGUGCAUGAGUUUAAUAGCCCUGAGCAAAGCCAUCUCUCAUAAAAGGCCACAGCUUUUUCAGUGUCAGUCACAGUCCAGUUUGUGGACAUGGGCUCCAACUGGCAGCUGUCUGAGACUGUAAGAAAAGCCCCGGGGGCAGGGCUCCCCAGUUCUGGUAUAGGACUGAGAUGGAGACAGGACAUUGCAUUGGGGUGCUUGGAGCAACAGGGAUAAUCAGAGGAGUGACUUCAGACUUUCCUUCAUCCCUAAACUGUUGGGUGAAUUAACCAUGAGGCUAUUAAGUAAUUUAAUUGCUUCAGAGACACAUGAGCAGUAUCGUUGUUAAUCCCUAACUUGAUUUCUUUAAAGUACUCUCCAAAAAUAAAAUUGUUGGGAAAGCUU
Molecule: long non-coding RNA, 2372 nt
Organism: Bubalus bubalis (water buffalo)
Lineage: Eukaryota; Metazoa; Chordata; Mammalia; Artiodactyla; Bovidae
Exons: 3
Source: RefSeq, a predicted model, not a curated record